This is a small nuclear RNA of Cricetulus griseus (Chinese hamster), 107 nucleotides long. NCBI's taxonomy places the organism in Eukaryota, Metazoa, Chordata, Mammalia, Rodentia, Cricetidae. The record is from Ensembl.
GUUCUCACUUUGGCAGCACAUACACUAACAUUGGAACAAUACAGAGAAGAUUAGCAUGGUCCCUAUGCAAGAAUGACAUGCAAAUUUGUGAAGCUGAGAGAGAGAGA